GAUGAACGCUGGCGGCGUGCCUAAUACAUGCAAGUCGAACGCUGGAGAUCUAGCUUGCUAGAUCGAAGGAGUGGCGAACGGGUGAGUAAUACAUAAGCAACCUACCCACGAAGACUGGGAUAAUCUCUGGAAACGGGGACUAAUACCGGAUAGGUAAUCGGAAGGCAUCUUCUGGUUAUUAAAGGUUAAAAACACUGGUGGAUGGGCUUAUGGCGCAUUAGUUAGUUGGUGAGGUAACGGCCCACCAAGACGAUGAUGCGUAGCCGGCCUGAGAGGGUGAACGGCCACAUUGGGACUGAGACACGGCCCAGACUCCUACGGGAGGCAGCAGUAGGGAAUUUUCGGCAAUGGGGGCAACCCUGACCGAGCAACGCCGCGUGAGUGAAGACGGCCUUCGGGUUGUAAAGCUCUGUUGUAAGGGAAGAACGGUAGAUAGAGAAUAUCCAAGUGACGGUACCUUACCAGAAAGCCACGGCUAACUACGUG
Molecule: ribosomal RNA, 486 nt
Filed under: uncultured bacterium
Lineage: Bacteria
Description: partial 16S ribosomal RNA
Rfam family: Bacterial small subunit ribosomal RNA
Source: RNAcentral